GACGAACGCUGGCGGCGUGCUUAACACAUGCAAGUCGAACGGAAAGGCCCUGCUUUUGUGGGUUGCUCGAGUGGCGAACGGGUGAGUAACACGUGAGUAACCUGCCCUUGACUUUGGGAUAACUUCAGGAAACGGGGGCUAAUACCGGAUAGGAGCUCCUGCUGCAUGGUGGGGGUUGGAAAUUUUCGGCGGUUGGGGAUGGACUCGCGGCUUUUCAGCUUGUUGGGGGGGUAGUGGCUUACCAAGGCUUUGACGGGUAGCCGGCCUGAGAGGGUGACCGGCCACAUUGGGACUGAGAUACGGCCCAGACUCCUACGGGAGGCAGCAGUGGGGAAUAUUGCACAAUGGGCGGAAGCCUGAUGCAGCAACGCCGCGUGCGGGAUGACGGCCUUCGGGUUGUAAACCGCUUUCGCCUGUGACGAAGCGUGAGUGACGGUAAUGGGUAAAGAAGCACCGGCUAACUACGUG
RNAcentral lists this ribosomal RNA (468 nucleotides) under uncultured bacterium. RNAcentral describes it as "partial 16S ribosomal RNA". It matches the Rfam family "Bacterial small subunit ribosomal RNA", at positions 28 to 507 of the family's 1533-position model. The record is from RNAcentral.